Molecule: long non-coding RNA, 354 nt
Filed under: Hordeum vulgare
Lineage: Eukaryota; Viridiplantae; Streptophyta; Magnoliopsida; Poales; Poaceae
Description: long non-coding RNA (HVUL_LNC019633)
Source: RNAcentral
AAAGCUUGUUGGAUUCAGGACGACAAGAGCAAUCCAAAUCUUAAGACCAUGCUGAUAUGAAAAUGCAAAUGAUCUAGAGAUGUGAGACCUCUAUGAAUGAAGAACCGGCAAAAACUCCAACAUCGAAAACAUCAUAGUAGUUGCAUAUGGACUCCGUUUUCGAUUAACUCGAGCUUGUCAUGAAGAUGACCAUAAGCUCUAAAACUCACAAAGAGAAAACCAAAUAAGAACCAAGAAGUAUGAUGCAAGGAUGCAAAUGGUUUGAGCUCUCAAUGAACAAUACGAUCAAGCUAAUCACUUGAGAGCCCCCCUUGACAGUACAGCAUUCUAUCCUAAACAGAAAACCUAUCAAGG